This 598-nucleotide ribosomal RNA is filed under the name Apolemia sp. 2 CWD-2005. RNAcentral's name for it is "partial 16S ribosomal RNA". It matches the Rfam family "Bacterial large subunit ribosomal RNA", at positions 1816 to 2597 of the family's 2925-position model. The record is from RNAcentral. Lineage: Eukaryota; Metazoa; Cnidaria; Hydrozoa; Siphonophorae; Apolemiidae.
GCCUUAAAAAAAACUUAAGGUGUAACCUGCCCAGUGAUUUUUAAUUUAUAAUAUUAAAUUAAUUUAAAUAAAAUUAAACGGACGCAGUAUCUUGACUGUGAUAAUGUAGCAUAAUCAUUUGCCAUUUAAUUGGUGGAUAGUAUGAAUGGUUAAACGAAUUCUUCACUGUCUUAAGAAAAAAAUUUAUAAAAUUGAAAUAAUAGUUAAGAUGCUAUUUAAAAUUGUAAGACGAAAAGACCCUAUAGAGCUUAACUAAAAAUUUUCUUAUAUUAAAAAGUUAAAAAAAACUUUUAAAAAAGAAAAAUGGAUAGUUUAGUUGGGGCGACUACCUUUUAUUAUAAACAAAGGUAAACAAAAUUAAUAUUUUAAUUUAUUGUAUAAUUAAUAAAUUUAACAAUUAUAAAAAUAGGUUAUAAUGACCCGUUAUAAAUAAAAAAUAUAAAUAACGAUUAAUAAAUAAAAGCUACCUUAGGGAUAACAGAAUAAUUUUAACUUAGAGAUCCUAUCGAAGUUAAAGUUUGUCACCUCUAUGUUGAAUUAAGAUAUCCUAAUAAUGCAGAAGUUAUUAAAGGUAGGUCUGUUCGACCUUUAAAAUCUU